GCGGGCAUAACUCAGUCUGGUAGAGUAUCAGCUUCCCAAGCUGAAAGUCGCGGGUUCGAAUCCCGUUGCCCGCUCCA
RNAcentral lists this transfer RNA (77 nucleotides) under bacterium. Its description in RNAcentral is "tRNA-Gly". It matches the Rfam family "tRNA". From Rfam's summary of the family: Transfer RNA (tRNA) molecules are approximately 80 nucleotides in length. Their secondary structure includes four short double-helical elements and three loops (D, anti-codon, and T loops). The record is from RNAcentral.